GGGUAGAGCACUGUUUCGGCUAGGGGGCCAUCCCGGCUUACCAACCCGAUGCAAACUGCGAAUACCGGAGAAUGUUAUCACGGGAGACACACGGCGGGUGCUAACGUCCGUCGUGAAGAGGGAAACAACCCAGACCGCCAGCUAAGGUCCCAAAGUCAUGGUUAAGUGGGAAACGAUGUGGGAAGGCCCAGACAGCCAGGAUGUUGGCUUAGAAGCAGCCAUCAUUUAAAGAAAGCGUAAUAGCUCACUGGUCGAGUCGGCCUGCGCGGAAGAUGUAACGGGGCUAAACCAUGCACCGAAGCUGCGGCAGCGACACUCAGGUGUUGUUGGGUAGGGGAGCGUUCUGUAAGCCUGCGAAGGUGGCCUGUGAGGGUUGCUGGAGGUAUCAGAAGUGCGAAUGCUGACAUAAGUAACGAUAAAGCGGGUGAAAAGCCCGCUCGCCGGAAGACCAAGGGUUCCUGUCCAACGUUAAUCGGGGCAGGGUGAGUCGACCCCUAAGGCGAGGCCGAAAGGCGUAGUCGAUGGGAAACGGGUUAAUAUUCCCGUACUUGGUGUUACUGCGAAGGGGGGACGGAGAAGGCUAUGUUGGCCGGGCGACGGUUGUCCCGGUUUAAGCGUGUAGGUGUGUGUUCCAGGUAAAUCCGGUUCACUUUAACACUGAGGCGUGAUGACGAGGCACUACGGUGCUGAAGCAACAAAUGCCCUGCUUCCAGGAAAAGCCUCUAAGCAUCAGGUAACAUCAAAUCGUACCCCAAACCGACACAGGUGGUCAGGUAGAGAAU
Molecule: ribosomal RNA, 782 nt
Filed under: Salmonella enterica
Lineage: Bacteria; Pseudomonadati; Pseudomonadota; Gammaproteobacteria; Enterobacterales; Enterobacteriaceae
Description: partial 23S ribosomal RNA
Rfam family: Bacterial large subunit ribosomal RNA
Source: RNAcentral